ACCUCGGAUCAGGUAGGAAUACCC
Molecule: non-coding RNA, 24 nt
Filed under: Drosophila melanogaster (fruit fly)
Lineage: Eukaryota; Metazoa; Arthropoda; Insecta; Diptera; Drosophilidae
Also listed under: 5 other names
Source: RNAcentral